Molecule: RNase P RNA, 397 nt
Filed under: Candidatus Giovannonibacteria bacterium
Lineage: Bacteria; Candidatus Giovannoniibacteriota
Description: RNase P RNA component class A
Rfam family: Bacterial RNase P class A
About the family: Ribonuclease P (RNase P) is a ubiquitous endoribonuclease, found in archaea, bacteria and eukarya as well as chloroplasts and mitochondria. Its best characterised activity is the generation of mature 5'-ends of tRNAs by cleaving the 5'-leader elements of precursor-tRNAs.
Source: RNAcentral
AUUCUUCGCCGGAUAGCCGCUCUUUGGCGAAAGCUGAAGGGAGGAAAGUCCGAGCACCAUUUUAUCCGCAAGGAUAAAUUAGUGGCAGUGGCUAACGGCCACCCCCCGCAAUGCGGGGCGAGACAGUGUCACAGAGACAAUACCGCGACAUCAUCAAUUUUGGCCUAAAGCCGAAAAAGUUGGUACGUAAGGGUGAAAAGAGUGAGCCCGCCUUCGCGCGGGAUAACCCGCUUCGGCGGGUGAAGUAAGAGCUCACAGCUCCGCUUGGCGACAGGCGGAGGUGAAAAACACUUGCCCGGUGCAACCCCAUUUAACGGGGGCUAGAGUCCUCGACGCAAGUCGGGACCCAGACAGAUGGCUAUUUAAACAGAACUCGGCUUAUGAGCGGAGAAUCAUA